Long non-coding RNA from Hippocampus zosterae (dwarf seahorse), 2897 nucleotides. RefSeq lists it as uncharacterized. NCBI's taxonomy places the organism in Eukaryota, Metazoa, Chordata, Actinopteri, Syngnathiformes, Syngnathidae. The record is from RefSeq and is a predicted model, not a curated record. The transcript has 3 exons.
GCUGUGCAUAGCUUCUUACAGUGUUGUUUGAUAUAUUGAAGUUCAUUUGUGAGAUGCUGUCUCUGAAUGUUCAAAACUCCCGUUUCUAUACCAGUACUGUAUUUCUUCGAAUAUUUUUGAAUGGUACUUAGGUGUAGAAUGUAGAUCAUCAUGUUGAUCAUAUUUAGACCAAAAGUCCCACAGGAUCUUCGCUCUGUCAUUCACCACCUUCGGAGGUGUUUCCCAUUCUGACCUUGGGGUUUUCAGUCCAUACACUGCACAGAUGUUUCGGUAGACUAUGCCAGCCACCUGGUUAUGGCGUUCCAUGUAGGCUUUCCCUGCCAGCAUCUUACACCCUGCAGUUAUGUGUUGGAUCGUCUCAGCUGCCUCUUUGCACAACCUACACUUUGGGUCUUGUCUGGUGUGGUAUAUCUGGGCCUCAAUGGCUCUGGUGCUCAGGGCCUGCUCCUGAGCAGCCAGGAUUGUCACGUUGCAUGGUGGUGGUGGAGCCCAAAAAGCAGGCAGGAGAGAGGAGCAGGGUGUAUUUGAAGAUGUGUAUUGAUAAAACACAGAAAACUAAAUCCUAAGUAAACAAAGUCCAAAGUAGCAAACAAAAUUCAUGACUGAAGAUAAAACAUAGCGGCAACCAAAACAUGACUCAAACAGACAUGACAGUAGCAAAGCAACAAUGACCCGACACUGAGUGUGCGGGCAAGAGUCCUUUUUAUAGGCCUGAUUACCUAUGGCCAACAGGUGUGCAGCUGCCAGGGGAGCUCUACAGUGCCACCUGUUGGUCCCCAAACCGAAUCGUGACAGUACCCCUCAAGGGACGGAUCCCAGACGUCCCAAAGUGGUCCAAAAGGCUUGCCUCGCCAGGGAACAGGAACUAAAAGCGACGGCAACCCUUGCCUCGCCGGAGAACAUGAACAAAACGCGACGGCGACCUUCGCCUCGCCGAAAUGCAGGAACGAUAAGCGAGGUGACCUUCACCUCGCCAGGGACAAAAGCGAGGGCAAUCCUUUUGGCUGGGCGUGGCCUGACGUGGACGGAGCUCGGCGUAGCGGGGGACAAGGAACAGCCGGUCGUGAACAGGGGCUCGGCCUGACGUGGGCGUGGACGUGGCACGGCUUGUCGUCGACGUGAAUGUGACUUCGCUCCAACAAACGUGACAAGCCUCGGCUCAACGUAGACGCGGACGCGGCUCGGCCCACCGUAGACGCGGCUUGACGAGACGAAAACAGGACAGCCGCAUCACCAGCGCUGCCUGAAAGGGGGAAGGGUGUCGGCCGCAAACGAGCUCCGCCAGGCACAUGGUGGAAUAGGGACCAAUCCAUCGUACCUGCGGGGUCCAGGUGGUCGGGUCAUUGUCACGUUGCAUGGUGGUGGUGGACCCCAAAAAGCAGACAGGAGAGAGGAGCAGGGUGUAUUUGAAGAUGUGUAUUGAUAAAACACAGAAAACUAAAUCCUAAGCAAACAAAGUAGCAAACAAAAUUCAUGACUGAAGAUAAAACAUAGCGGCAACUAGUGAUGGGUCCAGCGACACCGAUGCAUUGACACAUGCGCCGGGCUCACAGAGCAAACCACGUGUCGAUGCAUGUGCUGGCUCAUUACGUCACGUGAUUGACACGUGAACUGCGUUGACACAGUCCAGGCUUCUAAUUGACACACCGGCUGCGUUGACACAGUCCAGGCUGCUAAUUGACACAUCGACUGUGUUGACACAGUCCAGGCUGCUAAUUGACACAUCGGCUGCGUUGACACAGUCCAGGCUGCUAAUUGACACGUGAACUGCACCGGUGCAGUUUAGACUGCAUCGGCUGCUUGGCACAGUACAGGCUGCGCCACUUAGUCCAGGGGGCGUCGACUCAGUGCAGAGGGCGUUGACGCAGCAAAAGCCCGCCACACAGUGUUUAUAAGGAACACCUGCCGAAACAAGCCAGACCUCACUCACGCUCGCUUGUCGAAGCUCGUGUCAGUGCAGACUUCGUGUUCGUGCCUUGCCUUCCUUGCCGAUUAUGGAGCAGAGACGCAAAUCAUCCGCCGUGUGGGACCAUUUUGAUGUCCUGGAGAAUAAGGUGAAAUGUCGAAUUUGCCAAGUCAAUUCGCCAACAGAAGCACCUCCACCAUGCUGAGGCAUUAUCGGGCCAAGCAUGAGAAUGAAGUUCGCGAUACACCCGGUAUUACGCCAGGUUCCAGGAAGCAGCUGUACUGGAAGGACCAACACACUUCUUUCCCAAACCUCUCCCACCUCGCAAAGGAGUUCCUUUGUACGCCAGCCACAUCCGUCCCUUGUGAGCGUGUGUUCUUCACAGCAGGAGAAAUUGCUUGUAAAAGACGCAACAGGCUGAAGUUUAAAACAUUGGAGCAUCUUAUUUUUCUCAAUAAAAAUGUGAAAUCAAAGCCCACAAGCAUCCUCAUUCAAAUGAUCUUCACAUUAUUUGAACACAUUGAAUGUUGCAAAAUGAAUGCAUGGAUGUGAAUGAUAUUGUAUACACUUCAUCAAAUCGAUGAAUGACCUUAUGAAAAUGUCUUGGAACAGUUGUAGAUGCAAAACCGUGCUGGCAGCUACAUAAUAGAUAAUAAAAGAAAAAUAUCCCAAACCAUAGGGAUCCUCCCAAAACUAAGGAUGUGCUGAAUAAGAAAUCCUUGUACACACUUUUAUUACUUCCAUAUUUGACCUAUUGUGUGGAAAUAUGGGGAAAUGCCAGUAAAACAGUUUUAAAACUACAAUACAAAGCAAUCAGAACAAUCACUGGCUCCAAAUAGACGGAACCCACAAAUCCACUGUUUAUCAAAUUAAACAAUGAAAUCUCAUGACCUGGUUGACUUCAAAAUCGCCCAAUUAAUGUACAAAGCACACAAUAACCUCCUUUGCCAAAACAUCCAGAAGCUUUUUAAAAUUCGAGAAAGUUGUCAUA